GGGUUAGGCAAACUAAAAUCAGGCAGUUGUUUUUCCUGACUGAGGGAGUCAGGCACGACCCAGAUUCUUAGGCCGAGGCUUCGUGUGCUCAAGUCCCGAUAGAUGUAAGACCUGACGUGGGGAAAGUUGGGCAAUCAAGAGAUCGGGCAGUUGUUUUAGUAUAAAGUCCUGAGCAUCAGGCAGAAAUUUUGAAGUUCAGUGGAGGAGGCUGAAGCUCCUCAAAGAAGGUUCUUUUUGAAAUUACCGGUCAGUAAAGGCACCUUUGGGACUUUUUACUGUUGAAACCUCUAAAAUGGGAGGGUGUAAUAGUAAAAAGACCGGCAAGAGACUGAGGGACAUACCUCCCAAUAGUCCCUUAGGAGAACUGUUAGUAAAAUGGGAUUCUAUAGAGGCCACAGAGGGAUUAGAUAAAGUGAAAAUGAUUCAUUAUUGUAUGGAAGUGUGGCCAGAAUUAGAGUUACAAGGAGGAUGGCCUUGGUGUGGGACAAAGGAUAAGUGGAUGUGCCAACAAUUAAAUAAUUAUCUGACAGCUCGAGGCAAUACUGAUCCUGAGCAAUUAUUGUAUGUAUCUUGCUGGGUAAAGAGCGCUGUUGGGGAUGAAGGGGUGCGAAUUUGUAAGGUACAGAGGAAAAAAGAGGGGAAUGAAGGAGGAGAUGCUAAGACUAGUAAAAGAUGGGAUCCCCUGGAUUAUUUGCCUCCUUCUGUCCCUCCACCAUAUAAUCCUCUUCUUCAAGCACCUCAAAUGGCAGGUCCGGUUCUUCCCCUGGCUGCCAUCUCAUUACCACCUGUUCAAACUCCUCCUUCUACCUCUUCAGCUUCCGCUAUGAUAAACCCAGUAUCCCCUCCAGUUCCUUCUGCACCAUCACAAGUGCCUACUCCACCUGCUGCAUUCUCCACCCCUUCUCCAGCUGCACUUAAUAUCCACUCAGGCUCUUCUCCCCCUCCUAUUGCUGUCCCUUUACCCCCUCCUAGUUGGGGCACAAAUGCCUCCUCGCCCGAUAAACAGCUAUCAGCAAAUACACCUGCUGAUGGGCAGAACAUUCAGAGUAACCCAGAUAUCCCUCAAAGUAUUUUGGCGUCUGAAGAUGGGCCGUACUGUAGCACCAGAUCCAAGACCUCCAAGGCAGAGAGACUCUUUCCCCUCAGAGAGGUUCCUAUGGGAGGAGUAGCGGGAGGUGUUGGCUUUGUGAAUGCUCCUCUA
Long non-coding RNA from Zonotrichia albicollis (white-throated sparrow), 1201 nucleotides. Lineage: Eukaryota; Metazoa; Chordata; Aves; Passeriformes; Passerellidae. The record is from Ensembl.